This 337-nucleotide ribosomal RNA is filed under the name uncultured bacterium. Its description in RNAcentral is "partial 16S ribosomal RNA". It matches the Rfam family "Bacterial small subunit ribosomal RNA", at positions 338 to 690 of the family's 1533-position model. The record is from RNAcentral.
CCUACGGGAGUCAGCAGUGGGGAAUAUUGGUCAAUGGGCGCAAGCCUGACCCAGCAACGCCGCGUGAAGGAAGAAGGCUUUCGGGUUGUAAACUUCUUUUAAGAGGGAAGAGCAGAAGACGGUACCUCUUGAAUAAGCCACGGCUAACUACGUGCCAUCAGCCGCGGUAAUACGUAGGUGGCAAGCGUUGUCCGGAUUUUCUGGGUGUAAAGGGCGUGCAGCCGGGAAGACAAGUCAGAUGUGAAAUCCCGCGGCGCAACAGCGGAACUGCAUUUGAAACUGUUUUUCUUGAGUACCGGAGGGAGAAUCGGAAUUCCGUGUGGAGCGGGGGAAUGCG